Molecule: ribosomal RNA, 521 nt
Filed under: uncultured bacterium
Lineage: Bacteria
Description: bacterial SSU rRNA
Rfam family: Archaeal small subunit ribosomal RNA
Source: RNAcentral
AACCUCCGCAAUGUGAGAAAUCGCGACGGGGGGAUCCCAAGUGCCAUUCUUAACGGGAUGGCUUUUCAUUAGUGUAAAGAGCUUUUGGAAUAAGAGCUGGGCAAGACCGGUGCCAGCCGCCGCGGUAACACCGGCAGCUCUAGUGGUAACAAUUUUUAUUGGGCCUAAAGCGUCCGUAGCCGGUUUAAUAAGUCUCUGGUGAAAUCCUGUAGCUUAACUGUGGGAAUUGCUGGAGAUACUAUUAGACUUGAGACCGGGAGAGGUUAGAGGUACUCCCAGGGUAGAGGUGAAAUUCUGUAAUCCUGGGAGGACCGCCUGUUGCGAAGGCGUCUAACUGGAACGGUUCUGACGGUGAGGGACGAAAGUUAGGGGCGCGAACCGGAUUAGAUACCCGGGUAGUCCUAACUGUAAACGAUGCGGACUUGGUGUUGGGGCGGCUUUGAGCUGCUCCAGUGCCGAAGGGAAGCUGUUAAGUCCGCCGCCUGGGAAGUACGGUUGCAAGACUGAAACUUAAAGGAAUU